RNAcentral lists this ribosomal RNA (458 nucleotides) under uncultured microorganism. RNAcentral describes it as "bacterial SSU rRNA". It matches the Rfam family "Archaeal small subunit ribosomal RNA", at positions 330 to 745 of the family's 1478-position model. The record is from RNAcentral.
GCGCAGCAGGCGCGAAAACUCCGCAAUGCUCGAAAGAGUGACGGGGGAUUCCAAGUGCCUACGCUUAGCGUAGGCUGUUCAGAUGCCUAAAAGCAUCUGGAGUAAGGGCUGGGUAAGACGGGUGCCAUCUGCAGUGGUAAUGAAAAACUUGCUACUGCAAGGCAUAAGCCGCCGCGGUAAUACCCGCAGCCCGAGUGGUAGUCGCUUUUAUUGGGCCUAAAGCGUCCGUAGCCGGUCUGGUAAAUGGCCUGGGGUAAAUCGUGGGGGCCUAACCUCACGAAUUCCGGGUAGACUGCCAGACUUGGGACCGGUUGAGGGAGAGGGUACUCCGAGGGGUAGGGGUGAAAUCCCUGGUAAUCCUUGGGAGGACCACCGGUGGCGAAAGCGCUCUCCUAGGACGGGUCCGACGGUGAGGGACGAAAGCCAGGGGAGCAAACCGGAUUAGAUACCCGUGUAGU